UGGGGAAUAUUGGACAAUGGGCGAAAGCCUGAUCCAGCCAUGCCGCGUGUGUGAAGAAGGUCUUCGGAUUGUAAAGCACUUUAAGUUGGGAGGAAGGGCAGUAAGCGAAUACCUUGCUGUUUUGACGUUACCGACAGAAUAAGCACCGGCUAACUCUGUGCCAGCAGCCGCGGUAAUACAGAGGGUGCAAGCGUUAAUCGGAAUUACUGGGCGUAAAGCGCGCGUAGGUGGUUCGUUAAGUUGAAUGUGAAAGCCCCGGGCUCAACCUGGGAACUGCAUCCAAAACUGGCGGGCUAGAGUAGGGCAGAGGGUGGUGGAAUUUCCUGUGUGGCGGUGAAAUGCGUAGAUAUAGGAAGGAACACCAGUGGCGAGGGCGACCACCUGGGCUCAUACUGACACUGAGGUGCGAGAGAGUGGGGAGCAAACAGG
This 429-nucleotide ribosomal RNA is filed under the name Pseudomonadota bacterium. RNAcentral's name for it is "Proteobacteria bacterium partial 16S ribosomal RNA". It matches the Rfam family "Bacterial small subunit ribosomal RNA", at positions 355 to 776 of the family's 1533-position model. Lineage: Bacteria; Pseudomonadati; Pseudomonadota. The record is from RNAcentral.